Long non-coding RNA from Oreochromis niloticus (Nile tilapia), 2631 nucleotides. RefSeq lists it as uncharacterized. NCBI's taxonomy places the organism in Eukaryota, Metazoa, Chordata, Actinopteri, Cichliformes, Cichlidae. The record is from RefSeq and is a predicted model, not a curated record. The transcript has 3 exons.
CAAAGCUGCUGUGGCUGUCUGCGUUUCCCAUGACGACCUGGAAGAGGACGGAGGAGGAUGACAUCAUCAGACGAGAGUAUGCCUGUGCCCACUCAACAGAACGACUCAUCACGUGAGCACGAUCCCCGAACUGCCCAGAGAUGCAUCGCUUCUGUCUGCAUGAAAACAACACUGUGUGAAUGAAACGAGCCAUCAGUUUACUCUGGAUCCAACAGCCGGACCGUCUGCAGUGAGGCAGCAACCAGCUACUAACAUCUCUGCACUCAGGACGUCAGCAGUGUCUAAAACCCCCCAGAAAUUAUUAAUUGCGAUAAACAGCUCCCUGGACUCAUUUCCUGAGUGAGCACGGGAAGGGUCAACGGUCACGGUGGACUUGAUUUUCAGCGCAUACAGACAGCUAGCUCGGGCAGGACGACGCCCAUCCUGUCCCACAGGUCAGCGCCACGGAGGAAGGACGGGGGAGGAGAGAGGAGAGAAGAUGGCAACACAACACACUGCUGGCUCCCGAAUGCAUUGCUGACCUUUGACCUUUAUCCACUGAACCGAGACGGAAAGUGGUGAAGGGAAACCUCGACAGCUGACAGAUGAAGAGGGGCGAGAGAAGUUUAAUUAGAGAGAGAUGAAAGGAUUUAAGGCCCCUCCCACCAGGUGUCAGUGUCCUGGAGCUUCAUGAGCAAACGCUCCAUCCUUCGGUGCUCCCUGGAUUGAGUCUGAGGAGGUCAAGACCCGAUCAGAUCAGAAAAAUCUGAUCAAUCCAGCCUUCAACCUCCAUAUCUUAAAGGUACUGCGUCUCACAGCACAGGGAUCUUCAGAGGACUAAUGUUUGUGCUCAGCAUGGCUUUUGUCCUUUAAAACGUUUCUUUUAAUCUGAAACGAUCCAUUAAGGGAAACUUUAGCUAAUCCAUCCACACACUGAGGUCUGAGCAUCUUUGCUAACCUUAAACCCAACGGCACGCUAUGAGGAAACAAGAAGAUGAUAAAGUCACUGUUUAGGAUCUAAGUUAUGCGCAUUUCAUUUAAAAAUCACAAUAAUUUCAUGUUUAUGUGAAGCUAAAGUGAACCUUCAGCCAUCCAUGUGGGUUAAAUCAUAAAACGUCCUCCAACGCAGAGGAGGAGCAACUAUAAAGUUGGACUGUCUCUUCUUCUCAGAGACAUCCAGCAUCUCAGACUCAGAAAGAUCAUUCAUGGCUCAUUUUAAGGCAUUUUAAAAAGGACAGAAGAUAUUUUCUGGUUGAGGACACUGACAAAGUUUGGGACACGGAAUAUAUCAGAGGAAUGAUUUCAAGACACCCACGUAUUAAAGUGCACAGUGUGACAUGAGGUGAUGAUGGUGGGCCUUCACCCACCACUCUCUCCUCCCACCUCCCUCUCCGGCCGGUGCUGUUUUGUGUCUUGCUCUUCAGACGAGGAGCUCUGAAAGGAGAAAAGUCUGCUGGGGACUUUUGUCUGCUCGUCCCAUCGGCCAUCUGCCGGCUCACAGGACGCCCCGCCAUGGGCGACCCCUCACAUUCUUCCAAAACAAAGAUCCCUCUGACACCCCACCCCACCCCACACACAGACCCUCAAUCCCUCCUCAGGCAGGCGCAUGGCUGCCAUAUUGGAGGAAUUCAUCAGAUGUGUAUUGAAAAGAAUCUGAUUAAAGUGCAGAUUGAAUCUCCUCUGAGUCCGUUUGGAGGAAUGCCACCUGUUCACCAAACGCAUGUCCAACAGUUUCUUUAUCUGGUACUCACGACGAGACACGCAGACCCCACCCCCAUGUUUACAGCUGACUCGCUCACAACACAAAGAGCUUUUUGACUUUUGUUUUUACUUUUUAGAAACGUGAUUUUAGUUUAUGUUCAGCGUUCACUGUGAUGGAACCCUAAAUGCACUGUACACACUUUUCAUGGGCCACAAAGAAACAAAGAAAUUCGGGGAAAAUGUCUCCACUGACUUCGUUGGAGCAGAAAGAGAGUGAGACCUUUGUGUCCGUGUGGGUUUGUAGGUAGUAAAAACUAAAUGAUCUGCUUCACCAUCAGCUGAGGAUAAGCUGCAACCAAAAACUGUACAUGGCUGCUAUGAAGCCUCCUGUUGGUUCAUGAAGUUCGCUCGUGAAGCUUCAGGCUGGGUGUUUUAGCCACUGUGGAUCUGAAACUGCAUACGGUUACAACCUGUCAGUCUCAAGGACUAAAUCCUCCCUUGGUGUUUGAGUCUAAUGUGACUUUCACUUCCAAAAUUAACUUCACUGAAUCCACAGCUGGCAGGAAAAAGGCUUGAGCUCACUGACCAGCUGUCGGUUUCUCUGCAUGUUUGCCUCGCUGAUGAUUGUAAAUUGGCUGCAGGUGUGAAUGUGGUGGACCACCAGCCUAUCCAGAGUCUACUUUGUCUCUCCAACUGUGACAUCUGCGAUAGGCUCCGCCCCCCUCAGCACCCUGAAAUUAUUGAUUGACCAAAGUGUUUUUGAGCUCAGAGAUCAGAUGAGCAGGAGGCUCAUCGUCUCAUAGACUUGUGAGAGGAGUCGCCCCCUGCUGAACAUUACACAGAAUGCAGCAUCGAUUGGCUACGCCCAUCUUUACGUAAAGUUGAUGCUGCUCUGCUGCACGUGCAGAAAAAAAACCUCGUGUCUGCAUUAGGGAUGGACCGAUCCGAUAU